UGGAAAAAUGCAAACUGAUCAUUCUUACUGAAUGAAAAGACAACUUAUGUUCUUUCUCUCACAGGGCAACUAUGGACCAUGCUUUCAAGAAACAGGAGGCUCUUUAAUAAUGAUGAUAAGGACAGUUGAUCUUACCACAUCCUGAUUAUCUAGGAACAAUGGAGGAGAGCUAAAUGACUUCUUCCAGAGGACAGCCUAAGCAUGAGGAUGUUACCAUGCCGAUGCACUCUACAAACACUAUGAAGAACAUCAUCCAAAUAGACUUCAUGGACAAAGGAAGAAAGAGAAGUGACUUGGUUAUAGUGACACAGUAGGUAGACCAAUGGCAUAACAGAUACUUACCUAAUGUAAAUUGUCAGAGCUGAAGAUCUGGCCACUGGUGUCCUGACUCUCAGUCUAGUGCUCAACCCACUGGACAACACAGAUCUGUCCACUGGUGUCCUGACUCUCAGUCUAGUGCUCAACUCACUGGACAACACUGCUUCUUUGUACUGGUGAGUGGAGUUGACAUAAAC
This 515-nucleotide long non-coding RNA is filed under the name Gopherus agassizii (Agassiz's desert tortoise). RNAcentral describes it as "lncRNA (ENSGAGG00000006306.1)". The record is from RNAcentral. Lineage: Eukaryota; Metazoa; Chordata; Testudines; Testudinidae.